UGGGGAAUUUUGCACAAUGGGGGAAACCCUGAUGCAGCGACGCCGCGUGAUUUAGAAGGCCUUCGGGUUGUAAAAAUCUUUUCUAUGGGAAGAAAAUGACAGUACCAUAGGAAUAAGGACCGGCUAAUUACGUGCCAGCAGCCGCGGUAAUACGUAAGGUCCGAGCGUUGUCCGGAAUCAUUGGGCGUAAAGGGUACGUAGGCGGGUAAGCAAGUUAGAAGUGAAAUCCUGUAGCUCAACUACAGUAAGCUUUUAAAACUGCUCAUCUUGAGAUAUGGAAGGGGAAGUGGAAUUCCUAGUGUAGCGGUGAAAUGCGCAGAUAUUAGGAGGAAUACCGGUGGCGAAGGCGACUUUCUGGCCAUAAUCUGACGCUGAGGUACGAAAGCGUGGGUAGCAAACAGG
Molecule: ribosomal RNA, 402 nt
Filed under: Bacteroidota bacterium
Lineage: Bacteria; Pseudomonadati; Bacteroidota
Description: Bacteroidetes bacterium partial 16S ribosomal RNA
Rfam family: Bacterial small subunit ribosomal RNA
Source: RNAcentral